UCUCUUCCCGGAUUGGUAGGCGGCUAGCGGCGGUGAGGCGGGCGCCUAAAUCCGGGUCCUUAGACGUUCGUCCGGGACGCAGCGCUCGCCGUCCAGCCGCGCUUCCUUCACACCUGCUGGCAUGCGUGUGGGCGCCCGCGCAGGUUCUUAAAAUGAAGAAGUUUAAUUUCCGAAAAGUUUUGGAUGGCUUGACUGCCUCCUCACUGGGCAGUGGCAGCAGCAGUGGCAGUAACAGCGGUGGGACUGGUAGUGGUCCCUUGCAUCCAGGAGGGACAGCUGGAGUUCUGAGAGAGGAGAUUCAGGAAACCUUGACUUCAGAAUAUUUCCAGAUUUGUAAGGAAUACCAGGUUGAAUCAAUAAUCAAAAUUGCUACACAUAUUUUUUGUGAGUGGAACAUCUAUACUUGUGUGAGCUGUUCACUGAGAAUCUGUAACCCACAGGACAGGCUGAGAGGUCAGCUAGGAAACAGCAGAAAACAGAAGACAAGACUGCAGUGAUAGAAAAAGAUGGAUAUCAAGCCAAAUGCAACAUCACUGCGUGCUGUCGGGCAACAGCAAAGGAUCCUGUGCACACAAAAAGAAAGUUGCACAAUAUGAAGGAAGCAGUAAAAAUGAAAUGAAGUAGAAGAGACAUGCAGAAAGAAAAAUGCUCUCGGAUGUGUCACAAUCAUCUUGAUUCUUUACCUGGAAAACCUGUAUUUUUUCCUUUGUAAUUAUCUAAUAUACUUUGUGUCAAAGAACAAGGACCUGAGUUCCACUUAAAGAAGAUGAAGUUAACAGAUACCUUUUUCGGGUUUUAUCAUGAAAUUAGAAAUGAAGAUUUUCAGUUUCUGGUAGUCAUGAACAGAGAGCCUCAGUAUGGAGAUCAAACUCAAAGACCCUCUACUUUGGCUAUUGGCACACAUUUCAUUCCUGGAGAUGGUUAGAAUAUGGUGUUUCUAAAAUAGAAGGACUUAUCUUUCCUCCUCUACUUUGGAACUAAGAUGAGUUGUUCCAGUUAAUGCUUCCAGAACUAUAUUAAACAGGAUUCCUGGCAGUGGACACCCUUGUCUUGUUCCUCAUUUCACAGGAAUUCUUUCAGUUCUUGACCAUUCAGUAUGCUGUUGGUUUGGCUGUUGGUUUCUCAUAGAUCUCAUAAAUGUUGUAUCAGAUAAAGAUUAUCUAUACCAACUUUUUGUUGUUUUUCCCAUGUUUGCAUAUUUGACUUGUCAAAUGCUUUUUAUGCAUGUGUUGAGAUGAUCAUGCCAUUUUUGUCCUUAGCUGUGUUAAUAUUGUGUAUUAAAUUCAUUAAUAUACUUAUUUUCAACCAUCCUGCAUCCAUUGGAUGAUCCUUGCUUGUUCUGUGUAAUCUUGAUGAUUUGCUGUAUUCUGUUUGCCAAUAUCUUAUGAGGAUUUUUACAUCUAUAUUCAUUUGGAAGAUUUGCCCGUAUCUCUGUUUCUUCAUUAGGUCCUUUACUGGUUUUGGUUUCAUGGUGAUGCUUAUUUCCAGGAAUGAAUUUGGGAGAGUAGAUUCACUUUGAAUUUCAUUAAAGAGUUGCAUGUCUCUGAAAUGUUAUUUAAUUUGCAUGUUUUUAAGUAGUUUUAUUGGUUUCUUUUGCCAGUGAUUGCCAAUUUCAUUGCACUAUGAUCAGACAAUAUGCAUGGAAUAACUUCAGUUCCUUUAAAUUUACUCAAGCUUGUUUUAUGAACCAAUAUAUGUUCUCUUUUAGAGAAAGUUCUGAAUGCAUCUGAAAAAAUAUGUAUUCUGAUGUUGUGGGAUACAACACUCUGCAGAUUCACUAAUCAUGACCUUUAUUAUGGUCAUCAUCUCUGAAGUGAAACUGAGUUAUUCACCAGGCACAGCAGUUUGCAGCAUCCAUUGUUCCAUUCUGCUGGUGUGUUUCUCUUUGGAGCUCUCUGUAGUCACCAGUAGUCAAUGUACCUCUACAGGUUUGAGCCACCCCUCCCACACUACAGCUCAGAGAGAAAGUGCCACUCCUCACUUCCCAUGUCUGCACUUGGUCCCUCUCCUUUCUCUCUCUGCGGGCCCUAAUUCUCACCUUAGAUACUUGCUCAGUCCUGGGAAGCCACUUCUCUCUUCUUCCCCUUGCGCUCUUCUAGCAUCUGGAUUCCAAAUAUCAGAGAAGAUGUGUCACCAUCCUCCUGCCAUCCCAGAAGGCCUCUUGCUUCUUUAAUCCUAUAUUAAACUAAACUAUAACACAAUUCAUAAACUACUUUCUUUGUUUUCAGAAUAGUCAAAUACUCACAGGUGCAUUUAUUUUAAUAUCUUAUAGAUUUGUGGAUUUAUCAUCAUUACUUUUGAAGCUUAAAGUUUGUAAUAUGUAUAUUAGUAAUAAAUGGUAGACUUUUUAAGUUCUUAUCUAUCAGCGGUGUGGUGGGGGUAAUGCAAGAACAACUUUUAUACAAAACAUCAGAACAUUUAGCACUCCUUUUAGUGGUUUAUAACCCUGGUUUUAAUGAUCUUUGCAACACGCUGCAAACAAAUUGAUAGCACAUUAACUUUAGUGUGGUAAGAUAACUUCAUUUGAUAACAGACACAAUGAGAACAUACGUCAUGGGAGACUUUCACUAAGUGAAAUAUAAAUAAUUUUGAAAAAUAGUAUUAUUUUCACAGAAAUGUAGGAUGAUUUUAUAGUGGCAAACUUAUUUAACUUAUUUCUGGUUUUCUUAGCCAUUUACAUACCAUAUAAUAAGGUACAUUUAAGUGCUAGUGUAACUCAUAAUUUUCAUGGAAUCACAUCAUAUAUUUUUCAUGCAAUACAAGCAAAUCUUUAUUAUCCAGUUUUUAUUGAUACCAAUGCAUUGCUUUUAUAAUACCACUUCUGUUCUAAAUAUAUUUCUUUAUAAUAGUUAAAAUGUGCUUUAAAAUGUGGAAUAUCCAUUUAGCUUUAAUAUUUUUUAAUUGAAAGUAUGUGAAAUAUAAAAUAACAAAAUGGAAUAUAUCUUUGAAAUUGUCCUUUUUCUUUCUUAACAUAAAAAGCACUCAAAUGAAAACUAUUGAUUAUCUAAAUAGCUUUAAGAACAUAUUAAAACACAAAAAUCUAGAGGAAUAUAUAAAUAAUGACAACUAUUUUGCAAAGUUGUAAAUUUGAUGGCAAGUUUUAGAUUUUAUUGGGUAAUUCUUUUUGAAUGAAUGGAUAAAAGCAUGCAUAUAUUAAACAAUUUAAGAACAUUAUUACAGAACUCUUUUGUAUUAUAUAUCUAAUUCCUUAAAACUGUUGCAAAUGUUUUCAAACAUGCAUUAGCACAAUAUGAUUUAAAGUAACAUAGGGCUAUAAGUUUAAAUAUUUCUAAAUUAUUAUAUGUAUGUCUAAUUGUAUAAUUCUUAUAAAUAAAAACCAAAAACCAAACAAACACCUUUUGAGGAGAAUACAUCCAAGCUUCCUUCUUUCACUUUCUCUUCCUUUACUCGGCCUAUUCUCUGUCUUAUUUCUUCUCACCAGUCUGCCAUCUCUUGUCUUUCACUGGAAUGUGUGAAGCUUGUACUUUGUGUGUGAGCUUUCCACUAGUGCUCAGAUAUUCUCACUAGUCAUACACCAUGGAUGGAACAGUUCUAGAGGUGAAUCUACAGAUCUCUCACUUCCACAUAAAAACUUUCUUAGCCCUGCUAUGCAAAAUUAAGACUUGCUAUUUCAACCACACAUAUUAAAGUGUCCGGUCUAGUUCUCCAUAUUAUCUAUUUUCCCUUUAAAUAUUGAAAAUUUUACCAUGAUAUUUUUUCAUACCAUUUAUUUUGCUUUUAUGCACAGUGAUAUUUGCUUGUUAUUCACCUUUAUUGCUUAUCUUUUUGUCUGAUCUGAACGUAAGUCUGUAGAAGAAGGUUUAAUAUGAAACAGAAUAGCAGAAAUAUCAAAUAAAGUAUCUGUAACAUGACACUCAGAUAACUGUCAAGUGAAUAACAAUAAAUCCAAGAGAAACAUAAGUUACAGUUAAAGUUUAUAUUCAAUAGUAAGUAAUGAAAUUGUCAUUAUAGACUAGGAUUUUCUUAUAUUAAGGACCUGAUGUGACUGAACUAAGCAGUAUACCACAUCAAACAUCCUCACUAAUACUGAAUAUAUUUUCAGACUCAGAUGAACAUGCUUCCUGUGCAUUCAUUUUUAAUGGCAGUAAUAUUAUGAAAAAUCUACAUAUUUGGAAAACUGUAGGUGCACAAGCCAUCCAUUUCAAUGUAUUUUGCGCUAUCAGUUGAGCAACUAGAUGUUUUCUUUCAUCAAAUAGAAGUUAUCAAACACUUGAAUCAUGGAUCAACAGAUAUUUUCUGUGGAAACAAUUCCAUAGUUUAUUUGGAGAUGUCCAAUCUAUUUCAAUUCUAUUUAUGGCAGAUAUGAAGAAAAAUCUUUUUGAUAUACAUUUCAAAAAUACCAUUCCUAUAUUAUAAUAUACUAUAAUAUUCAUAUAUUACUGUAUUGAUAUGGUAGUGAAAAAAGAAAUUUUUGAGCAUAAGACUUAAAAUAGGAUGAUGUAGUCAGAAAUUUGUAAGCAUUUUAAUUGAAUGAGUUCUGUUAGUAUUUGCAAUGGAAGAUCAAGUGAUUUAUCUUUGUAGCAGAUGCAUCUUGAGUUUUUCAACAUGAGAAGAUGAGGAAUGGAUAGGCAGAGCUGAUACAAAUACAGUACUCUUGACAAAUUUUUUCAUUUACACUGCAUGUAUUUAUAUCUGAGAGGUUUUAUGGGUGCCUUUUUGCCAAAUAUGAACAUGCUAAUUAGAAUUAAACUGUAAAGAACAUUUUUUGAAAGGUAAAUUCAAUACAUUUUAUGUAAAAUAAAUUCUAAUAAAAAUAUAAAAGGUCUGCUUAUAAUUGAAAAAAUAGUUACAUGCCUGAAAUUAACUGAAUAAAUUGAUAUCAAAAUUAAGAAAACUGCUGAUUUUAAAACUAUCAGAUGUAGAGCUAUAAAUACAUAUAGUUUAUUAUUUGCUUUACUGGGUGCUUCUCAUGUGAUUUAAUGUAUAUUUAAUUUGAAAAAUUGACUUGAUUAAGUGAUAUAUUACAGUAUUAUGUUUAUUUAUUAACAGAAAAUAUGUUUACUAUAAACUAUUAGUUUCAUUUCUAGGAAUCAAAUUGUUUUUUAAAUUGCUUCUGUUUUGCUGUUUGUCAUAUCUGAAGCAAUGUAAUAAAUUUUUCAUACAUUAUUUUUAAUACUUUAGCCAAUAUAUUGCAAAUGAAAUAGAGCAUAUUUCUGUAAUUCUUAAAUUAUAUAAAGAGAAUAUAUAUACUUUUAAGCUUCCCAUUCAUUGCUUAUAUAAAUCCAUUUUACAUAUAUAAUAAAACAUUCCAUUUAAAAUAAUUUUCUGAUUAAGCCUGAUAUUAUGAAACAUGAGUGAAAAACAAAGAAAAUUUACAAUGUUGUAUUAAGUGAAAGAUAUAAAAAUGCUGAUAAAAAUAUGGAGAAAAAUGAAUUUUUAUUUGAUGAUUUUAAUUAGUAUAGGUACUCAGGAAAAUAGUAGAAUGUUACCUAACAAAAAAAAUUUUAAUACUGGUACUACCAUAUGAUCCACCAUACUCAUUCAUGGGUACACAUCCAAUGGAAAUGAAAUCUUUAGAAACCUAAACUUUCAUGCUUAUUAUAGCAUUAUUGAUGAGUCAAAAAACACAGUCAUAUAGGCUGCCUAUGAAACAGAGAAGAGAUAAAGAAGUUGUGGUUAAUAUUGAAAGCAGAAUUUUUCCACCACAGAAAGAAUGCAAUGCAGUCAUUCACAGCAACGUGACAAUUAGAGAAAAUUAAUUAUCCUAAGUGAAAUGUCAGUCAGAGUAAGACAAUGUCUCAUGUUCUUAUUCAUUUGUAUAAGAUAAAAAUUCAGUGGAGUAGAAAAUAAAGUGAUAGUCAUAAGGGACAAAAAGGUUAAGGGAUGAGAACUACAGAUAGAUUAGAUAAUGCAUGCCAAAAUACAAUUAAAUAUGAGCAACUAGUUCUGGUGUAGGAUAACACACGGGAUAACUUUAGGAGAUAAUUUAUGCUUUACUUUUAAAAAACUGAAUAUGAGAGCCCAAAGUUUCCCAAUACACAUAAAAUAUAAAUAUGUUAGGAAAUGACAAUCCUUAGUGCCCUGAGUUUCAUCAUUACAUAUUUUACACAUCAAAUUAUUUUAUACAUAAAAAUAGUUAUGCUUCAAUGGAUUUCAUUUAUAUGUAUAAGCUGUAUGUACCAAUACAAUAAAAAUGAAAAAAUUUGAAAAUUCAGAAAAAUAAGAUAUAAAAUUAAUGUACAUGGCAAUAGGAUUGCAAAAACAACUAAUAAAAAUGAACUCACUCCGUGAGUUAAUGCCUGUAAACCAAGCAGUUGAGCAGGCUAAGACAGGCCUUUCAUAGGUAACUCAGUGAGAUUUUUAUCUCAAAGUAAAAAUGAAUGCACAAAGCUAGGGUAGGGACAUAGGUAACUGCAAAUUCAUUCUGACACACACAAACGUGUGCAUGUGCACACACAAGCACAAACACCCUCCAAAGCAUCAAGAAUAAAGAUACAAGACAUAAGAAGCUAAAAAGAAACAAUAGCACUACAUUGCUCUUGAAAAGCAGUGCAAAUAAGAAAACAGAGAAGUAUCUUUAUGUACUAAGAAAUAAAGACAGUGAAUGUUCCAUUGUAUUCAAAAACAGUGUUUUGUAAAAAAUAGGUAAAAUAAAAGCUUUUUGUGAAAUAAAAAACUGAAAAAUUAGUCAAUGAAAUGAAUUUAAAUGAAAGAUUUGCUGCUCACUGUGAAAUGGAGAAAAAUGAAAUGAUUGGAAUAUCCAAGAAAUAUAAAACAAUUCAUAAAGAAAUAAGAAGUAUAAUUAAAUAUCAGAGACUAAAACUAGAACAGAGAAGAAGAAAUACUUGAAGUAACAAUAAACAAUUAUUUUCAAAAUCAAUGUAAGAAAACAAACCAUAAGUCUAAUUAAUUCAGAGUUGCAAAAAAUAAAUACCAAAAAAAGAAUAGCAAAACAUGUAAUCAGGUCAAUUUUAACUUCCUGGAGGGAGAGACACACACAUACACACAUGCACAUCUCAAAAGAAAUUAAACCAGAUAAAAAACAUUUCCACUAAGAAAUAAAGAAAAUACAUCAAAAUUUUUUACAUUUAAGCAUGCUAAAACAUACAUCAAAAUUAGUAGUGCUAAAAUAAAAAGAUACAUCAAAACAACACCCAGUAUCCAUCAAAGUUGUCUUUUGUCAGUAGCAGAUCUGACUUCUAAAUACAUUAAAUUUUUCAUAAUAAAGAAAACUUCUGGUGAAUGAAUGUAAAAUAUGAAUUUAUUUUUAACUUUUAAUUGAUCUAAUAGAUAAUUAUUUGAAAUAAGAGCAAAAAUGUAUUUUGUGAUAUUAAAUAUGAAAAAGUCAAAUCAAUAUAUUGUAAUGAAUGAAAAACUAUUAUGUCUUCACUAGCAAUGUAGCACUGUAGUACAAAUUGGAAGAGGACUUAAGAUUUCGGUCAUAGACUUAAUGUGCAUUGUCCACACUAGGGCAAACAUUAACACAAAAUUUUAAUAAAAAUGUGUAAGGCUUGUACCCAUAUAUUUGUCAUAUUAAAAGUUCCACUAAAAUAAGGGAAUCUAAAAGUACAGAAAAUAAAAAGAAAAUAAAAAUCCUCAAUAAUAGAAAACAGACAGGGUAGCUUUUGUCUGCCUGGGUGUUGGUUUGUUUGAACAGUGUCACACUAAGUCAUUCAGUUGCUCAGGCUGUGCCCUAGGUUGUGAUCUCCUUGCUUAGCCUUCCAGUGUGUUGAGAUUACAGGAAAACACCACCACAGUCAGGCAGAUAUAAUAGAUUUUACUCAGAUAGGACCUAUAUUUGUAAUCACUUGAAAUAUAAUGUUCUAAACAUACAAGUCAAAAACAGAGAUUUUUAAUUGGAGAAACAUACCACCUAAAAGACAACUUAGAUAUCCAGACUCAUGUAGAUUAAAAAUGAAGAGAUAGUGAUAAUUGUUUCACUCAGACACUAAAGCAAUCUACUCUGGCUAUACUAAUUUCACCUAAAGUAAAUUUCAGGAGGAGAAUAAUUUUUAGAUGUAAAAAGAGUCAAAAGAUAACAAUAAAAAGGAUCAGUCUUUCAAGAAGACAGAGCAAUCAUGAGGUUAUGUGCAUCUCACAGAAACAUGCCCAAGUAUGAAGACAAAAAGCAAUAAGACUGCCGGGAGAAAUAAACAAAUCUGAAGUUACAAGUGGAGGUGUCAACAGUUCUCAUGCCAUAAUUGAUAGACUCAGCAGGCAGAAAAUCAAUAAGAGUACAGUGACAUCAAAUCUUGCAAUUAAAUCUACUGGAUCUAAUUGACACUUGUAGACUGGCUUAUCCAACAGCAGCAGACGACACAUUUGUCUCAAGUUCGCAUAGAACAUUUCCUAAGGGGGGGAAAAACACUUCUGGACCACAAAAUACACCUAAACUAAUUUAAAAGAACAGAAAUCUUAUGAAGUGUCUUCUUGGAACACAAUGAUCUAAAACUAGAGAUCAAUAAAAGAAACAUAACUGGAAAAAUAAAAAAUAUUUGGAUUAAUCAGCAUACUUUUCAGUAGACCAAGAGUAAGUGAAGUCUCCAGAGAUAAAAUUAGAGAACAAAUUUAGUAUAUGGCAAAUGUCUAUUUUUAUUAGUUUUAUAAUUAUUCCAUAAACCCAAAAUUAUUUUUAAAAUAAAGGUAUUAAUUAGUUGACGAUAUUACUUGGUGGUAGAGCUAUUGCUUAACAUGCAUGGGUAAAAUCACCAGAACUACCAAAAAGUACAAAAAAAAAUGUUUUUAAAAGUAAAUCUAGUCAAUACAACAAUAAAGUUGUAAUAAUAUAAUAAAGAAUAUUUUAAAAGAAAUAGAGGAAAAAUAAAAGGACAAAUACAAAAAACCAAAAUAAUAAAAAGUUACAUUAAUAGAUAAAUGAAAGCAACCUGAAAGUUAUAAGAAAGAAUUUUUUAGAGUAACACAGAAAAAGUAGGAUUCAACUGUUUUUCCUGUCUCUCUCUUUUUUUACAUUGCUAUUCAAAUCUAUUAAGAAUUCUCUUGUCUUAAAAAAAAUGAAAGAGAGAGAGAGAAAAAGAAAAAAGAAAAACAAAUAGGAAAAGAAAAGAAAUGAAACCAAAAGAAAAACCAACCAAGCCUAGGAUCUUGAAGUAGCUAAUUAGGAUUGUAACCACAUAGUAUCUGGUUGGUUCCUUUUUGAUGAGUUGGUACAGGCUAGAGCUAAGUACAAAAGUUUAUGAAUGCUUUGAAAGAGUAACAAAGUGCAAAGAGGAUGACUGCAGGAAGGUGCCCAGAGGAGACACCGAGCACUGACAGCUUCAAAGAGCCUCAGCCACCUGCACCUCCUGGAGACAGAGGUGUCCCGUGCCGAGGUGGGUCUGGGCCUAGCUGUGCAAUGGGGCAGCUGAGUGGAGAGGUGCUUGUGUCCCCUGCAGCAGAGUUCCAUAGUGUGUUUAGUGUUCUUCUGCAAACUGAAAUGAGGAGUCGAUUUUUCUGGCUGAAAUUUAUACUGAAGACUGGUCCCAGACCUUGUUAACCUGGGACAGUGGGGUCCUCACAGCUCCCACAGGCAGCCGGCUCAGAAUCCGGCCCGGGGACUUCUCACGCUCCAGGGGACGGCUGGGAGAUUUGUCCCUCUGCAGCUCUGUUCGCCCCUCACGGUAGCGGUGGGGUGUGCUUGGCUCCUGGGGGUGGCUGGGGUUUUCAGGUGGUGCUGGGCUGGAGGCCACAUGCUUGGUGAUGUGCUCAUUGUACGUUGGGAGGCCUCGCUUGUUGGGGCUGCUGCGGGAGGUGGAGGGGACCUGGUGGUGCUCAGUGCCGGUCUCCUUCACAAGGUUUCCUUUGCAGCAAAUAACCCUUAAUUUAUCCUGGUAUGAGGAGGCCAGGUAAAUCGCUCCCGAGGAAAUUGCAGGGCCCAGGUAGCUUGGGUUUGGGAUUUCCAAAUAGGCUCGGGCAGGAGUCCCCAGUGAGCAACGUGCCUGGAUCUCAAUGACAAGUGAGUUGAAGUGGGUCCUGUCUCUCUUUAUUCCCUCUGUAUAUGUAAUUAAAAUUAAGUUAAAACCAUAAACAUAUCUAAAUAACAAUGGAGAAAUAAAGCUAAUACUAAUCAAUACCUAAUAAUACUGGCAUAUGAACAUACAGCAACGCAGAUUUGGAAAAAAUAAUGCUACUACAGAUAAGGAAGGUUAUUUUAUAAUUAAAAAGUUUUAAUUUAUAGAUGGUACACGUAAACACAAAAUAACUUUGCAUCUGCUAACAAAGGUUCAAAACCAACAACAACAUAUGAUAGUAAUACAAGUGGAAAACAUGGUGCCAGCCAUACAUUUCUUUCAACUGAUAACAGAAUAAAUAUACAAUAAUUUAGCUAGGAGUUAAAAUUUUAAAUAAUAUUAUCAAUUAAUUUGACUAAUUACAAUUACAUAAGUUUGAUCAAAGUUAGAAGAAAACAUUUUUAAGUUUACUCAAAAAGUUUGCAAGGGUAGAUCAUAUUUUAGGUUGUGACACAAUGCCCAUAAAUUAUAAAGAUAUGUGAAACAUGUAGAUUGUCCUCUGAUUAAAAUCAAACAAUAGUAGGAAGGAAUAUAAAUCUGAGAACACAGGCUGGAAUUUAUUUCACUGUAGCAUGCACCACAUAGUGCCUUUAACCACGGAUUCAAUCCCCAGCAUGGCAUAGAGAAAAAAGGAAAGAAAGUAAAACACCCACAUACACGGAAAGCAAUUAACAAAAUUACAGUAACCAUGAUCAAAGCAAUGAGAAAAGUUAAAAAUGCAAUUAAAAAUUAGUUAUAACUGGGUAAAAUGAAAAUAAAAUUACCCAAACAAUUGUUGUCAUGCAUUUGAGAAAAUACUCAUAGAAAACUGAAUAGCAAUUAAUGUUCUUUUAGGAAAUCUCCUAUCAUAGAUGUAAACCUACUGCAAAAGAAA
Molecule: RNA transcript, 10842 nt
Organism: Cavia porcellus (domestic guinea pig)
Lineage: Eukaryota; Metazoa; Chordata; Mammalia; Rodentia; Caviidae
Gene name: histone H1.8-like
Exons: 8
Source: RefSeq, a predicted model, not a curated record